CUCGACCUUGCCUAAUCACUCGA
RNAcentral lists this non-coding RNA (23 nucleotides) under Arabidopsis thaliana (thale cress). The record is from RNAcentral. Lineage: Eukaryota; Viridiplantae; Streptophyta; Magnoliopsida; Brassicales; Brassicaceae.